UGGGGAAUAUUGCACAAUGGGCGCAAGCCUGAUGCAGCCAUGCCGCGUGUGUGAAGAAGGCCUUCGGGUUGUAAAGCACUUUCAGCGAGGAGGAAGGUGGUGAGCUUAAUACGCUCAUCAAUUGACGUUACUCGCAGAAGAAGCACCGGCUAACUCCGUGCCAGCAGCCGCGGUAAUACGGAGGGUGCAAGCGUUAAUCGGAAUUACUGGGCGUAAAGCGCACGCAGGCGGUUUGUUAAGUCAGAUGUGAAAUCCCCCGGGCUCAACCUGGGAACUGCAUUUGAAACUGGCAAGCUAGAGUCUCGUAGAGGGGGGUAGAAUUCCAGGUGUAGCGGCGAAAUGCGUAGAGAUCUGGAGGAAUACCGGUGGCGAAGGCGGCCCCCUGGACGAAGACUGACGCUCAGGUGCGAAAGCGUGGGGAGCAAAACAGGAUUAGAUACCCUGGUAGUCCACGCUGUAAACGAUGUCGAUUUGGAGGUUGUGCCCUUGAGGCGUGGCUUCCGGAGCUAACGCGUUAAAUCGACCGCCUGGGGAGUACGGCCGCAAGGUU
This 550-nucleotide ribosomal RNA is filed under the name uncultured bacterium. Its description in RNAcentral is "partial 16S ribosomal RNA". It matches the Rfam family "Bacterial small subunit ribosomal RNA", at positions 355 to 895 of the family's 1533-position model. The record is from RNAcentral.